This 56-nucleotide non-coding RNA is filed under the name Asterionellopsis glacialis. The record is from RNAcentral. Lineage: Eukaryota; Bacillariophyta; Plagiogrammaphyceae; Rhaphoneidales; Asterionellopsidaceae.
UUUUUUAUUUUUUUAAAUUUUUUUUUUUUAAAUUUUUUUUGUUUUUUUUAUCUUCU